UCAAAGUUUAAUUUUGGCUUUGAAAUUUUCUUUGUUUUUUAUUUUAUAUGUAAAUUUUAGUAAGGGUAAUUUUUAAUUUAAAUAAUUAAAAAUCUGUAGUUUAUUCGCAGUAUAAAAUAUUAAAUAUUAAAUAAAUUUAGAUUUAAGAAUAAAAUUGAAAAUUAACAAAAUUUGUGCCAGCAGUUGCGGUUACACAAAUAAUUUAAGAAAAUUUUUUUUGGAAUAUAGUUAAAAGAGUAUAAGAUAAAUUUAAUUAAAUUUUUUAAGUGAAAUUUAAAAUUUAUAUAAAAUUUUAUUUGUGAUUUUUGAAGCUAAUAAAUUUAAAUUAAAAACUAGGAUUAGAUACCCUAUUAUUUUAAACUUAAAAGAAAAAUUCCUAAUUAGUAAAAGUUAUGGUCUCUAAAAUUAAAAAAUUUGGCGGUAUUUUAGUCUUUUCAGAGGAACCUGUUCUAUAAUUGAUAGUCCACGAUUUAUUAUACUUAUCUUUUAAAUUUAUAUAUCGUCGUAGUUUGAAUAUUUUCAAGGAAAAAUAAUAUUCAAGAUUUUCAAUAAAAAUAAAAAUCAGAUCAAGGUGUAGUGUAUAGAUAAGAAGAAAUGGGUUACAAUAAAUUUAUUUUUGGAAAAAUUUAUGAAAUUAAAUUUAGAAAUUGGAUUUGAAAGUAAUUUAAAAAAAAUUUUUUAAAUGAUUUAAGCUCUAAAAUAUGUACAUAUUGCCCGUCGCUUUUGUUUUAAGAUGAAAUAAGUCGUAACAAAGUAGAUUUACUGGAAAGUGAAUCUAGAAGCAA
Molecule: non-coding RNA, 785 nt
Filed under: Hydnocerini sp. BMNH-844241
Lineage: Eukaryota; Metazoa; Arthropoda; Insecta; Coleoptera; Cleridae
Source: RNAcentral